UUAUAAAUUAGUAUUUUUAUUGUUAUGCAAAAUGUUAAUAUAAAUAUUUUCUAUAAAUCGGAUUUAUGCAUAUUUUAUGGAGUAAAAUUCACAGAAUUUUGUUUUUGAAGAUAUAUGGAAAGAUUGUGUAGAGAUUUUUAGAAAUAAAUUAGGCAAGAUAUCGUUUGGUUAAUAUCUUUUAAAAUUUUGUAAAACUAAAUAAUAAAUGCUAGUGACAGCCGUUGUAAAUAAGUCUGAACUCCAGGAUUUAUUUCACAAAAUGGUUGCAAAAAUGUAUAUGUAGAUUAGAUGAGGAUAAUUUGUUCAUUUUGUUCAAAAAAAAAAGGGAGAUUUGCAAAACUACCAUUUUUUACUACCCUUUUGCAACAAUACCCUUUUAUAUUGUUCAUUUUUAAAAAUAUCCCUUCUCUUGAACAGAAUGACCAAAUUACCCUCAUCUAAUAAGAACAUGUAAUUGGAAACUGAAAAUUUCCCGCCAAUAUUUAUUUUUCCCGCCAAAAAAAAAUUUCCGCCAAACUUUAUUUCCCGCCAAAAUUUUUUCUCGUAAAAUUUUUUUCCCAGCCAAAAUAAUGCUUUUAAAAAUCCUUAUAAAUUUUCUUAAAACUCUUUUAAAAAACCUUGUAAAGUUUUUUAAAAGCUUUGGUAGUUGCUAAAAACCCUUGUAAAUCAUUUUAAAACCUCUUAAAAUCUUUAUAAAGUCUUUAAAAACAUAGGUAAAUACUUUAAAACACCUUUUUAAACCUUUGUAAAUCAUUUCAAAAUUUCCACAAUAGUUUUACAAGAUUUACAAUCAUUUUUUAGCAUAAGUAAGUGGCAUUGAAUGAUUUACAAGGGAUUUUAAAAGCUUAUAAAAGGGUAAAACAUGAUUUACAAUCGUUUUUAAAGCAUAAGUAAGUGGCAUAUAAUGAUUUACAAGGAUUUUUAAAAAGGGUUAGCAUGGUUUACAAUAUUUUUUUAAGCAUAAGUAAGUGGCAUUGGAAUUAUUUACAAGGGAUUUUAAAAGCUUAUAAAAGGGUAAAACAUGAUUUACAAUCGUUUUUAAAGCAUAACUAAGUGGCAUAGAAUGAUUUACAAGGAAUUUUAAAAGUGUUUGUAUGGUUUACAAUCGUUUUAAAGCAUAAGUAAAUGGCAUUGAUUGAUUUACAAGAGAUUUUAAAAGGGGUUAACAUGAUUUACAAUCGUUUUAAAGCAUAAAUAAGUGUCAAAGAAUGAUUUACAAGGGAUUUUAAAAAAGGUUUGCAUGGUUUACAAUCGUUUUUAAAGGAUAAGUAAGUGUUAUAGAAUGAUUUACAAGGAUUUUAAAAGCUUAUAAAAGGGUAAAACAUAAUUUACAAGAGUUUUUUUAAAGAGUUUUAAAAGGAUUUACAAGGAUUUUAAACCUUUGUAAAUCCUUUUAAAACUCUUAUAAAGUCUUUAC
RNAcentral lists this small RNA (1417 nucleotides) under Arabidopsis thaliana (thale cress). Its description in RNAcentral is "ATSL092900". The record is from RNAcentral. Lineage: Eukaryota; Viridiplantae; Streptophyta; Magnoliopsida; Brassicales; Brassicaceae.